RNAcentral lists this transfer RNA (73 nucleotides) under Gimesia panareensis. RNAcentral's name for it is "tRNA-Glu". It matches the Rfam family "tRNA". Rfam says of the family: Transfer RNA (tRNA) molecules are approximately 80 nucleotides in length. Their secondary structure includes four short double-helical elements and three loops (D, anti-codon, and T loops). The record is from RNAcentral. Lineage: Bacteria; Pseudomonadati; Planctomycetota; Planctomycetia; Planctomycetales; Planctomycetaceae.
GCCCCGUUCUUCUAACGGCCAGGAUACCGACCUCUCAUGUCGGAGACGCCGGGUUCAAUUCCCGCACGGGGUA